GAUGGCGACCGGCGCACGGGUGAGUAACACGUAUCCAACCUGCCGAUGACUCGGGGAUAGCCUUUCGAAAGAAAGAUUAAUACCCGAUGGCAUAGUUCUUCCGCAUGGUAGAACUAUUAAAGAAUUUCGGUCAUCGAUGGGGAUGCGUUCCAUUAGGUUGUUGGCGGGGGUAACGGGCCCACCAAGCCUUCGAUGGAUAGGGGUUCUGAGAGGAAGGGUCCCCCACAUUGGAACUGAGACACGGUCCAAACUCCUACGGGAGGCAGCAUG
This 270-nucleotide ribosomal RNA is filed under the name uncultured bacterium. Its description in RNAcentral is "partial 16S ribosomal RNA". It matches the Rfam family "Bacterial small subunit ribosomal RNA", at positions 87 to 353 of the family's 1533-position model. The record is from RNAcentral.